GCUAGAGGAAGCUUAGUGCCUUCGGGAACUCUGAGACAGGUGCUGCAUGGCUGUCGUCAGCUCGUGUUGUGAAAUGUUGGGUUAAGUCCCGCAACGAGCGCAACCCUUAUCCUUUGUUGCCAGCACGUAAUGGUGGGAACUCAAAGGAGACUGCCGGUGAUAAACCGGAGGAAGGUGGGGAUGACGUCAAGUCAUCAUGGCCCUUACGAGUAGGGCUACACACGUGCUACAAUGGCGUAUACAAAGAGAAGCGAACUCGCGAGAGCAAGCGGACCUCAUAAAGUACGUCGUAGUCCGGAUCGGAGUCUGCAACUCGACUCCGUGAAGUCGGAAUCGCUAGUAAUCGUAGAUCAGAAUGCUACGGUGAAUACGUUCCCG
RNAcentral lists this ribosomal RNA (378 nucleotides) under Serratia sp. (in: enterobacteria). RNAcentral describes it as "bacterial SSU rRNA". It matches the Rfam family "Bacterial small subunit ribosomal RNA", at positions 999 to 1376 of the family's 1533-position model. Lineage: Bacteria; Pseudomonadati; Pseudomonadota; Gammaproteobacteria; Enterobacterales; Yersiniaceae. The record is from RNAcentral.